Molecule: ribosomal RNA, 625 nt
Filed under: Pantoea stewartii
Lineage: Bacteria; Pseudomonadati; Pseudomonadota; Gammaproteobacteria; Enterobacterales; Erwiniaceae
Description: bacterial SSU rRNA
Rfam family: Bacterial small subunit ribosomal RNA
Source: RNAcentral
UGCAAGUCGGACGGUAGCACAGAGGAGCUUGCUCCUCGGGUGACGAGUGGCGGACGGGUGAGUAAUGUCUGGGAAACUGCCCGAUGGAGGGGGAUAACUACUGGAAACGGUAGCUAAUACCGCAUAACGUCGCAAGACCAAAGUGGGGGACCUUCGGGCCUCACACCAUCGGAUGUGCCCAGAUGGGAUUAGCUUGUAGGCGGGGUAACGGCCCACCUAGGCGACGAUCCCUAGCUGGUCUGAGAGGAUGACCAGCCACACUGGAACUGAGACACGGUCCAGACUCCUACGGGAGGCAGCAGUGGGGAAUAUUGCACAAUGGGCGCAAGCCUGAUGCAGCCAUGCCGCGUGUAUGAAGAAGGCCUUCGGGUUGUAAAGUACUUUCAGCGGGGAGGAAGGUGUUGAGGUUAAUAACCUCAGCNAUUGACGUUACCCGCAGAAGAAGCACCGGCUAACUCCGUGCCAGCAGCCGCGGUAAUACGGAGGGUGCAAGCGUUAAUCGGAAUUACUGGGCGUANAGCGCACGCAGGCGGUCUGUUAAGUCAGAUGUGAAAUCCCCGGGCUUAACCUGGGAACUGCAUUUGAAACUGGCAGGCUUGAGUCUCGUAGAGGGGGGUAGAAUUCC